Non-coding RNA from Vicugna pacos (alpaca), 754 nucleotides. The record is from RefSeq and is a predicted model, not a curated record. Lineage: Eukaryota; Metazoa; Chordata; Mammalia; Artiodactyla; Camelidae.
CCGGAGUGGCUGUGACAGCAGCGGAGGCAACAGCUUCUACGCAUUUUUGGAUGACAUACCACCUGUCUUCUGGCUUAGAGUUCUGCGAAAUAAUUUCUCUGGAUUGCAUGAAUGAAGCACAGGACCAUUCACACAGAAGAGGGCGCAGAUUGGAAAACGCUGCAAGUUGCUGGAAUAACUGAAGAAAUAAUGUAAGAAAUACAGUUAUUCAUAAAGGCUGUUCUUGUGGCCACAAUCUUCUUACACAAAACAUUCCUAAUCACAUUCUCUGAGACCCUGCUGGAGGGACUGAGCAAUGGACCAAAAGACCUGGAAAUGAAGAAGAGAAAAAGGUAAGAGACAAGGAACAGAGUAAAAAUAAGGACAUCAAGAGAGAGCAGAGUGUGAAGAGGGAGGGUGAAAGAGGUAGCUGGAACAAGUGAACAAGAAAAAGAGAGAAUGUAUGUAUGUAGGGAGAAUAAAAGGAUUAAAUGACAAGAGAAAGAAAAAUAUUAAUGCACCUAGUGGGAAAUAGAAAAGCACCAGGAUUAUUUGCCUCAUAUUUUCUGCUCAGAGAUUGUUUCAAGUAGUUGUCUGUCCCUUGGUGUAGGCAUUCAGUUUUAAAAAUCCUUGUCAUUCUCAGCCAAGUAUAACAAAAAAUAAAGAACAGGGUGGAGAGCCAUGAAACUUUUAAUUAAGGUUGACAUUCAUCUAAUAGAUAUGCUCUAUUUAGAAUUACAGUGAAGAUGGUAACAUAUUGUGGUCACUGGAUCUC